RNAcentral lists this long non-coding RNA (25270 nucleotides) under Volvox carteri. Its description in RNAcentral is "long non-coding RNA (VCAR_LNC003026)". Lineage: Eukaryota; Viridiplantae; Chlorophyta; Chlorophyceae; Chlamydomonadales; Volvocaceae. The record is from RNAcentral.
AGAAGAUGGUGAAGGAUGGGACGAGGUGGAAACGGGGUGAAGGGUGGUAUCAGGGAACAGGGUGGGGGAUGAAGACGUGAGAGUAAAAGGGUGUAAUCGCUGUUCGCCUGGCAUGCUCCCGUCGUUGUCGAGGUUGCAGCUGCACGAGCACACUUGCAGCCGGCAAGACGGGCAGGCUUACGGACGAUUUUCGCGAGACGAAGAACGUUGGUGAUGACGACGAAGUAGGUGACGACGGAGACGACGAGAUAAGAGGAGACGAAGACGACGAAGUAGGUGACGAUGGAGACGACGAGAUAAGAGAGGACGAAGACGGUGCGCGAAAGCAUCCAGUCGCUGUCCACCCGGUGCGCUUCCGUCGUGGAGGCUGCAGCUACACGAGCACGCAUACAACCUACAUGGCGGGCGGGCUUACUGGCGAUCUGGGUUAGGCGCGAAACGUUGAACGGUGACGGCGGCGGGGUGUCAGACUCGGCUGACCGUUGCACAGCAAAACGCACCGGCAAGCUGUGGCUAACCUGUUCUGCCGGUGGUGGCUUAAAGGCCACGUUGACGGGAUCGAGGCGAACGGCGGCGGCGGCGGGGUGGGUCGGCGCGGCGGUGCUGGUCAUCGCGGCAAGGCUGGGGGCUGUCUGAACUGGAGAGAAAGGUGCGUCCACGGUCGUUGUCCUGACGACGGCGGUCGGAAUUGUCGGUGCGAGUCGGAGAGGGGGAGGGGGAGCGGGAGGGAGAGCGGUUUGCGGUUCGAGAGGUGGUGGAACGAAAGGGCGAGCGGUCGGUGGGGACGUUGAUGGUGCAGGUGCCCUGCGGUAGCGAAUGCGGUGAGCGGUGAGCGGCAUCGUGCUCCAUUGAAAUGGUGCAUGCAAGGUCGAUCACAUCCUGCAGUCGUAUGUAGGAACCCGGGUUGCGUAAGUGCGAGAAGAUCUCCUUCCUGAGGUCGUCCUGCAGUCCCUGCGCGAAGAAGAGGACGUGGUCCUUCUCGUGGCGGUACGGCAGGUCAGCCAUAAGGCGUUGGAAUUCCGCAAUGUAGCAUUGUAAGGAGUUUGGUCCGGAACCCUGCGUCAAGGCAAACAUAGCAAGCUGCGCUUGAUAGAGUCCCGUGAUGGGGACGGGAGCCAUCGGAGGAUGACGAAGACGAAGAUGACGAAGACGACGAUGACGAAGAUGACCAGCGGAGCGAAGACGAAAGCGAUGACGACGAAGACGAUGAAGACGAAGGCGGAGCGAAGCGUAUAGGCCGGAUCGUCUAGAUCGAUACCAACUGAAAGGGCAUAGGCUCCGUUUCUCGUUGGGAUGCCACGAUGAUUACAAAGAGGGCCGAGCGACUUAAGCCAGCUAACAACCUACAAGAUGUAACAAUGAUGACAUAACAAACUAAACAACAACAACGACUUAAAUAGUUAUCCAGAGCCUAGGCGGCGCCGGAAGGUCGUACAUUAUCCGUAUCUCAAAUGAUCGUCCACGAGUAAAGUUAACGACUUAACAACUAACAAGAAAACCUAACAAACAGUUUAAUUAUCAAUAUUUUUCAUACUCACACGCUGAGCUAAACUGUGUUCUUGUGUGUCAUUCCCAGCUCCAAGAUCCAACCGUGGCUGCUGUACGCGGCCACACAUGGCCCUUUUGUGUACGGGUUCGUAAAAGCUGAAAAUUAAAAACACACUCAGCAACUUGCGACGUGUUGAAUUACCUAAUUCCUGCUCAAAACCGACCAGAUUCCAGCAAAGGCUUUUUCGUUGCUGUUGCGGCAGCGUCAGGAAUUGCGUCUUGAUGGGCGUAGUACUGUUCGUUACACAACUGCAUGUCAUCAGCUUUGGGCCGUUCGUUAAACCAAAGUACUUAGUAGCAGCCAGAGCAGCCACGGCCGCGUUGGCCACGUUCGAUCGCAUGAUGAGUUCGCUGAUGCUUAUUCCUGCGAAAAUGAUUCCAUAUGUGCCCGCAGGAGGCACUGAUCACCAGGUAGCGGCAGCUUAAAGUGCAGAGCUGCAAACAGAAUCUAGCUAUAACUGCAUUGCGUGAGAGCAAAUCGCACAGGCGCCACGAAUUUGGGCCCGCCACCACCUCCGCGCGGCGGGCGAUGACGUCGCCUCGACGUCUGACGACGACGCUGAUCGCUGACACCAGUUCGAUCGCGGCGGCCGGAGGAGCAUAUACGAGCGAGCACGGAAGAGCAUCGUCCCUGGGAAACUACGUCAGCGUAUCAUUAUAUUAAUAAUAUUUUCUUAAGCUCUGCCUGGUUCUGCCGGCCUGCUCUAUCUUUUGUAUCUUCUAUGGCCGGUGCAGGCGGCCAGUGGAAACGGGCAAAUGGCUGUCUGGGCGAGCCCUCCCUGCAGCUGGCUCCAAUGUGGCCCCUCUACGAACAGCGAACGGUCGCCUGGUGACUAAGGGAUGGUGGGCCACCCGUCCAUGGAAAUUGUUAACAGCCGGAGGGCCUUCACCAACCCUUGCCGAUGUCAUAGCCUACCUACCUACCUAUCUAUCUAUCUACCUACCUACCUAGCUACCUACCUAGCUACCUACCUAGCUACCUACCUACCUACUAUCUACCUACCUAUCUAUUUAUCUAGCUACCUAGCUACCUACCUGCCUGCCUGCCACUUAGGUAAUCCCCGUCCCCUGAACUUGCUCCCCCUUUGACACAUCCAAUACCAAUUGGAUUGCUUGGGCUUGCUCUGGUGAUGCUAGGUCCACAGGGUGGGAGGAUGAAGUGGUAGUGAUGGUGAUGGUGAUGGUGAAGACAGGAGUCCGUUCGGACUUGUCUGGCUGAGCACCUAGUAUCCUGACUCACUAAAUCAGCCCGAACUUUAAUUGAAUUGUAUUCUGUAUUGAAUUCCUCAAAACCUGCACCGAACAGCGAAUCUCCUGUGCUGUAAACGGAAGCCUUAUGGUACUUACCUCACGAAGGAAGUACCAUUGGAUGCAGCAAGGAAAAUGUUACUGCUGCAGAUUGCAAAGCGAUGCAGUUUCCUAAGCCGCUGGUUGCAUUGGAUCUGCUCUGCACACCGUUAACCAUUCCCAUCAUUUCAGAUUUCAAUGCACCAACUCAAAUUCAAAGUGAUCAAAUGCGGCCUUGCUCGGUCGUCGUCAGUCGUUGUCCAAACGAUGAUGUGGCCAUUAUAAGUAGUUCUCUGACAGUUAUUCAGGACGUGGUGGCUCUCUCAUUCUAGACCGGGGCCCAUACAUGCAAUGCAGGCCACUCCAACGCUCUUUGGGUGCCUCCUGAGCUGGCAUGGGGGCCACCAUGUCGGCCACAAGACGGUUUACCCCAAGACCUGGAUCUAUUUUCCUUCAGCAAUUCCUUCCAACAACUGCCUUAGAGAGGCCCUCCUUUGCAUGCAUGUCCCACCUGUGAAGCCACUGCCUCGUAACAUGGUCACAUGCCUGUCCAGACAUGCCUGUCCAGCCAGUGGGCCGGCUUGCACUCACGCACGCACUCGGCUUGCUGUUGGAUUUGGUUCCGCCGCGCGCGCUGACAUCAAAACGGGUCCCGCACCUCCGGCGCGCUUCCUGUUACUACACCGCUGUGCCUUCGGCUCGUCAGCGAGACCCAUUGGUUGGAGUGCAGUGGAAUGCCUAUGGCUGCCCACCCUUGGACUUCUUGCUCUCUGUAAUGCAGGAAGUGCGCUAGGAGGGAGUGUGCUUCAGUCGUGCCGUACUGGACGGGCCGACCUUGGUGGCAACAGUUGAUGGAGUUGGCGGUUGACCUUGUGUUCCUGCCUUCGAAUACGGAGCUGUUUGCGCUGGGUGAGGGUGCGUUGAGCACCUAUCUACCCCCCCUUCCUGGCAGGUCUGGCAGUGCGGGUGCAGUCGUAGUGUGGGCGCUUUCGCAUGGCACUCGGUCAGUCAGUGUGGCCCGCUGCAAUUGCGGUCAGUCAGAGUGCCCCGCUACGUGUGCUUUCCUAACAUUUCAAAACCCCCCGGGGACGUGUAAUACAUUGUAGGGGCAAUGGGCCACCAAUGAGGUAACGCCUUAGGUGUACAUCGUGGGGGGGAGCGGAUGUGCAGCUAUGUGGAGCGAAUAGGAAGGGAUUUGAUGUGCGAAGGUGUGCGCUCGGAAGGCACCAGUGCUUUUGUUUUCAUUUCCGUCAAUUUUCCAGUCCGAACGGAGGAAUAGGUUUUAGUCGCGGGAAUAAAAUUAUUCCUAAUCUGUAAGGCGCUGGGGGGCCCUCUGGGGGGCCCUUUGGGGAAUGUCGCAACACGCACACACCACAAUCUCUCUGGAGACCUGUCUCUUACCGGCUCCGGGCCAGGAAGCGGCGCGCACUUAGACGCGGUGGCCUGCCACGCUUUGGGAGCUUCAGAUCCGAAUAUUUUGCAGCGUUUGGUCCGGUCAGAAACAGUCCUAUUCCUCGUUGACUCGCGGGUGUGGCCUACCUAACAGUAUCCAUGGCAUUGAAGUGCUAUGAUAUGGUUAACAUGUAUGUCUCCGGUAAGAUUCUAGCGGCUUUGGCAUGGACAGCCCAUUUUUGGCUGGAGGAAUGAACUUGUACAGUCGGAACACAAUCUAAUCCUAACUUUCAGGACCACGGAAAAUUAUUUAUUCCGAAUCCCGCAAAAAAAUCACUGGAAGGCACCCGUGCAGGUAGUUGGUUUUUUCGUGUUACCAGCGAUUGGAAUUCCCGUGAUUUCGGAACGGUUUAGUUUGUCUGGCUCCAACACCGCUGGAUCUGGACUUAGUUCGUAUAGUACCUUCGGUGCUGGAUGGGUUCCCCGUUUCUCGCUGUAUCUGCAGUCCGAUGCGGCACCCUGGUAACUUGUUGGCAUAGCAGCUGCAGCUGGCUCGGUUGGUCCAUUCCGCGUGUCUCUGCAGGUUGCCCAGGUUGCCAGUCCCGGGUUGGUGCUAUUUGCAGUUUUUGUGUCGCUUUUUUGCUGUGAUUGUGUCUUUCCUGUGUCAUAGAAGGCCUGGAGUUACUUCCGGCAACCCUUUAUGUCGGGCUCCUGUGGGUUCAGUUCCUAGCUGCCAGGGGCUCUAUCCCAGCCCGUGCUGCUCAGCCUUUCAUCAGUGCAGUGAACCCCACGAGCUCCGUGUCUGACUUGCUCGGUUCACCAAGAGCCGUGUGCUGGAGACAGCCCCUGCUGGUGGGUUUUCCAAGUAGUUGGGUGCAUUUGCAGUGCUCCAUCGCUCUGUCAGCCUCUCUUUGGGUUGGCCUUUAAUGCGGGUGAUGAGUGGCUUCUUUGAAGCUGUUGCCAACGUUGUGUCAGUUGGCUCGGAGGUACCCUUGCCUUGUCGUGUUAGGUCUCUGUCUUUUCUUCGUCCGCUUUCUCUGUUGUCCGAGACCUGGGUACGUGGAGUGGUCGUUGUUGUGGAGCCGGUGUUUCGGCUCACGUCCUAGUUGGCCGUUUGGCCACCCCUGAGCGGGCACAUGUUUGGCACUUUUGCUCGUUUGUCGUCCCUUCCUUCAGUGGGCGUCCGGCAGCGUCUGUUGAGUGAUCCGUCGCGUCUGUGGCCUGCAGGUCAGUCUGUAUGCAGUUGGUGAACGCUGGUUUGGCCUAGUUCUUGUGGAGUGUGGUGGCACUUUCCGUUCGGUUUGUUUGCUAUUUGCCUGUGUAGGUGGCGUGUCCGCCAGCCUUGCUGCUGGAGUGCCGUUUGGAGGUCGUCGAGGCGUUUGGCUUCGGGAGCUCUAUUUAGUUUCGGUGUGCGCGCCUGUCAGGCAGCUCUCGCGUUCUUUGGCCCUCUCGUGUGUUGCACCAUUUGGUGUUCCAGUAUUUCAACUGCUAGGGCAUCUUCAACUUUGGCAUUUGUCUCUGAAGCAACUACUAAUGUGAGCUUGUGUUAAGUAAGCUGGGUUGGGUGUAAGGUCCAGUGUGUAACUGUUAGACUAACUGUUUCACUACUGCCCGUGCCCUCAGGGCUGUCGUUUGUUGCACGCAUAAAGCUGGUAAGCUUAUCUUGUUUUUGUUGUUCAGCACGGGGAACGAGUUGGUCAUGGGCGGGUUUUCCAGUCACGUGCGGGUCAUGAAUCCGGUCAUGUUUUGUCACUGCACCAUAGGCCCUGCCAUGGAACAGUUCAUAGCUGCACAAGCCAAGCGCAGGAUAUGUGUGUGUGUGUGUGUUUUACAUGGUCGCGGGUUGUGUUCCCUGUACCUGCAAACUGCCCAAUACGAGUUGAGGGCUCAAGGGCUCCCAGAUCGCCUAUAAGCACCAUCCUACCUCGCACUCAGACAAAGCAAAUGAUAAAUGAGACUAACGACCAAAGGGAACGAUAGAGUUGCAGUGGGACCAUAUAAGUUCCAGCAUCCUUACCAGACGUUCAGGUUCCUUCACUUCAUAGCAUCCUUCAUAUCCUCGAAGCAUGGAAAAUCCAUAUCAAAUCUCGUUUUUGUCGUACACCAGACAGUCCAACCAAAUGUGCUUCUCGUCUUCAUUAUGGCUAUCAGUGCCACAGCAGGGGCAUACUCGCUCCUCCCUAGGUCUAUAACACAGUGGCGCCUCUCGUGCAGCUCUCACUUAGUUCGGUUUGCAGUCUUCUGCGCCGCUGUGUUGCCUAGCCAGGGGCUGGGAGAUCGUCCCGGUUGGUGUGAGUGAGGGAUCGAGGCGCGCGCGGAGGAACAGACGGACGUAGAGGCGCGCGCCUGCCCCUGUGCUGUGUUUCGGCAGGGCCCCCGGUGCUCAUCCUUUCUCGGGCGAGCCACCCACAGUGUAACACCCCAUCAACACAGUCCCUUGCAUGCUCCGUUCACCACCAAUGCCCGACAGUAAAGCCCCAACUGCAUAAGCUUGUGAUUCACUGGAUGCAGGAUAAACGUUGUGAUAUGCGGGAGUACCUCCUUUCUGCCGCUUGCUUGGCCUCCAGACCCAUCCAAUGCGUAUACUUCACCAUGUGAAUUCCUGGCUGCUUGCAGUCUGACGGGUACAUGUCUGGUUGGACAUCUAGACAUGUACACAUCCAACCAUUAAUCAAUCGGUCCUUGAACUCCAAUACCACACCUUCUGGCAAUCGCCUGUUCAUCAGCCAUUCCACUCGUUCGUCUACUUAGUGUAGCCCUUGCGGGGCCUCUUUCCAUACGGGCCUCUUUCCAUACAUGUAAGAAGCGUUCAGCUCCCUUGGCAUCUCCCUGAGUACUCUUUGCCUGGUGUUACAUUGGUGCGAAUUGCUAGGUCGGACAGCCAUGGGGAGGUUCAUAACGGAGUUGGGCGCUGUAACCGGGUUGGACUCUUCCAACCAUGGCGCUCGGAAGAAGGAGGGAGGUUUGGAAGCGACGCGGACAAAAGCAGAGAAGAGCAGGCAGGGUAGGGGCGCGAGCGAGGAGGGGCAAUAAGUGAGGGAAGUGGGAAAGGGCUGAGGACAUGUGCACAAAGAGGAUUGACGUGUAAGAUGCUGUCGAAUCCUUCAACCUGAGCGAUGUGUGCCCAGUGCGCUCAGGGUGGGGCCCCAGCUGGUCAGCUUCAGGAGAGCCGAUGAAUUGUGUUGGCCGGAAACGGCGGCAGCGAAGACACGAUGUAAAAGAGAAACCCCGUCAUUAAGCCUCGAGUUGACGGAAUGCAAACUCAGCAAUUUGUAUGACAAAGGAUGGAUGUUCAAUUAGGACAAACGUGAUGAUUCCUGGGCGUGGCAGAGCAUAGGAAAGGGUCUAAAUCGGCGGAAACGCCGAAUGUUUUGCGCUUCGCCGUGCCUUGCUUAACCAAUUCCUUGCUAUAGGGUAGCGCCUUGAUUAGUCUUGAGACGUCUUUCUUAUGUUAGGCUAAAAUGGCGUUGCGGCCGCUUGCAUAUGAAACAUUCGGAAGAGCUUUGGGGGCCUAAAGCAGCACACAUAGUAUACUUCCACGUAAAACACAGCUCAAGCAACAUAUCAGUCCGUGUCAUGCUAUCAAAGCCCUAGUUUUGGUCAGGAAAGGCUGUACGUCACUUUGACGCAAACGCACAAUUCAUGAUUAUGCCACUUCAAACAUUUAUUUGAUGCGUUUUUAAUAAUAACUAUGAAUGUCUGCUGGGAAUGCUGGAGAGAGGGUUCAUUCCCAACAACGUCAGGCUUGCGCGUAGGCCGCAGGCCCGCGUAGCAGAGCUGCAACGCAGAACCGUGUGCAACUGCAAACAGCGGCCAAAAACAACCCCUCAACCAAUAUCUGCACCUUUUGCAACCUCGACCGAAGAUGACGGUGUCGAUGUCUUGUCCAGCUUCUUCCGCACAGCGUUCCGCACGGCUGUUGCUUUUGCCUUUAGUGUCGCUAUCUCCAUAUCUCCCGGCCCUGAGGCCUGCUGGGUAUGGCCGUCGCCGGUACCUUCGGCUCUAGCGGCUGAGGCAUACAGCGUUGCUGCUUAUGAGCGGGCUGUGGCGGGUCGGCGAGAUGGGGCCAGUGAUGGCCCCAAUCUUGCCCUCUUCACGGACGACGCACAGCAGGCCAUGGCCAGGUAGGCGGGGUGGGGUAGGGGGGUGUCGAGGGGUGUGUGUAUAGGAGGGUUUUCAGACAGGAGGAUGUUGAAGGGGUUCAGGUCGGCUGCCUGUCUGUCUUCACGACUCCCCUAAACUGCGAGUAGAAUGUGGGUGUUUUGGGUGAACGACACGGCGCGAGCCAGCCGGGGGGGAAGGGGGGGCCGGAGGCGGGGACAACGAAAGAUAACUUGGAUAUGCGCCGCGGGCCAGAGGUCAACACCGGGGGAGGGGGUUACUCCAGGGGGGAGGGGUAUAAGGCCCCUCUGUACGCGGGGGCCCGUGGCGGGGUAGGCGUACGAUGCCGUACCUGCUCGUCCCCACCUUGCACACACACACCACCGCCGCCCUGUCGCCGAUGGCUUACACUCACAACCACACACACACACACUCGCAGGCUCCGUGAGUAUGGCCGUUACGUGGAGUCCGUGUCCGCCUCCGAAACCGCGUGCGGGCCCCCCUGUACGGAGAACCGUGAGGUUCUGGAGCGGGCCUGGCAGGUGGUUGCCAGCGAGCACUACUCGGCCAAUGGGGUCUUCACUCAGGCGGGCUGGGCGGAUGAGCUUAGGAGGGUGAUGGAGGUGUGUGUGUGUGUGUGUGGCGGGGGGUGGAGGGGGAGGGGAAGGGGAGGGGAAAGAGGGGUAAGCGGACUGAGCACUGCAGGGUGGGCGUUGUGGAGGGGAGGUGGGUCCACCCCACGGGGAUAUAUGUACGGCUGGUUUUACAGAUAUGUGCACACAUACACACACAUACACACGUGCCUGUGUGUGUGUGUGGCGGGGUUUCAGGUUCUUUUUAGGGUUUUACAACUCCCCCCCGUACACAACCCCCCACUACCCUUACUAUCCCCCACUCCGUGCCCCUCUCCCCCCUCCUCCAACCACCACCCCUCCCUCCCCCUCCCCAUAAGGCCCGGGACGGGCUCCUGACCUCCAAGUCCGAGCUGCAGUCCGCCAUCAGCGACAUGCUGGGCAGUCUGAGGGACCCGUACACCGAGUACCUACCACCGGGCGCGUUUAGAAGGGCCCUACGGAGGCCACUGCCCAGGGAGCAGUCGUACCUUAAGGCGCAGUACGUCGGUGAGUGGAUACGUGUGUGUUUGGGGGAGGGGUUUCGGGUGGGCGUAUGUGGGGGAAAGGGAAUGAGGGGGAGAGGGAAAAGCAGGUAUGUGUUCGUGUUUGUGUUUGUGUGUGUGUAUAAUUGAUAUGGCCGGGGGAGAAUCGGAGACCUGCCCGGGUGGGGGCAGAUGGCGGUUGUAGGAAGGGGGGAAGGGGGGUUGCCGUCCCCCUGCCUUCCGCUGCCCCUCCCUCGGGCGCCAUGACGAUGAUCAGCUGCCCCCGAGGCCGCCCGUUUCCCCGUCCCCCCCCCCCCUGGCCCCCUUCUCGGCCCUCCGGCCUAGGGCUAGAGCUGGGCCCCGUGGCCCCGGGCGGCGGCCGCGUGGUUCUGGCCCCGCUGGCGGGCUCCCCCGCGGAGGGGGCGGGUAUUGCCCGGGGGGACAGACUUAUCAGCAUCNNNNNNNNNNNNNNNNNNNNNNNNNNNNNNNNNNNNNNNNNNNNNNNNNNGACGGGGGGGAAGGGGGAGGGGGGAAAAUGUAUGGAGCCAAGGGCGAAACACGCAGCUGCUGCUGUAAAAGGAGGGGCAGGGAGAUUACAUACAUACAUGCGAAGUCAAGGCUGCUUUCCCUCCACAACACUCCCCCACCCUCCCCUCUUCCCUCCGUUCCCCUCCCCAUCUGUAAAAAACCCUAAAACAAUAAAAUGACAACGUUAGACGGCACGCCCGUCGAUCAGUUGGUUCCGGAGCAGUUGCGGGCCCUCAUGCGGGGCCCCGCGGGGUCUACGGCAACCCUGGAGUGGGUGCCGGCGCCCACGGCCAACGCCGGGGCGGCUGCAGCCGCUGCCGCGGUCUCCUCAUCUGCCGUACCUGCCACCAAGCCCACCGCCCUUGCUCCCGCUCCGCCUCACAUCGUAAUGGAUGUGGAGCGGCGCGACCUGCCGCAGCCGGCGAUUAAGGUAGUACGACAGUUGUAUCGCAAUGGUGGUACGGCAGUAGUUUUGAUUUUGCGUCUUCCGCCAGCGAUAGGGCGAAGCACCACCGCCGCUCCCUGGGUUGGGUGGCUGCUGGUGCGACAAACCAAUUUUAAUUGUUCACCCGCUACCCCCCCUUCCCGGGGGUACACUCUUGUGCCCUGGCAGCAGCUUCACUCGUUUGUGGUUCAUCUUUCCCCCCCUCCCGACCUCUCCGAACAUCCGGCCCACCCCCUGCUGUCAUUGAGCAGGUCUCCAAAAUUCCGAUGGGCCCUCCGGGAUUCUAUGUGACGUACGUACGGCUGCUGUACUUUGGAUCCGAAACCACGGAGGGACUCGAGGCCGUCCUCCGGCGUCACGAGGGCAGUCCAGGGAAUGUGGGGUACGUGCUGGACCUCCGGAACAACCCCGGUGAGNNNNNNNNNNNNNNNNNNNNNNNNNNNNNNNNNNNNNNNNNNNNNNNNNNAGGGGGGGGGGGGGGGGAAAGGGGCGAGGGGAGAGGGGGAAGGGGAGGGGGGAGGGCGAGGGGGGAAAGGACUCGGCAGCUAGUUCCUGUUUCUUUACGUAGCGACUUGGCCCGCUACGAAAUGAGCACUAGGGGUCCCAGGUAACUUAGGGUCACAUGCAGUAUCCGCACAUCACUCGUCCGUGGUUCCGGGCACUUAUGCCCCUCACCCCUCCAACAUACAUACAUACAUACAUACAUACAUACAUACAUACAUACAUACAUACAUACAUGCCCAUCCCCAUCCCCAUCCCCAUCCCCACGAAGGCGGUGUCUUCGAGGAGGCGAUUGCCAGUGCCAGCAUGUUCCUGAGGCGAGGUGACGUCAUCGCCAAGACCAUCCGGGGCCCAGAGGGGGUGGUGGAUACGGUGUGGCAGGUGCGCACGCGUGUGUGUAUGGGUACGCGCGUGUGUGUGUGUAUGGGUACGCGCGUGUGUGUGUGUAUGGGUGAGGCUGUGUGGGAAGGGGAGAGGGGGAAGGGGGACUUGGAGCUCCAAGGGAGAUGUCGAGGGGGAAAGAUUGGCAUUUAAGAGCGUGCGGUGGCCGGGCAGGGGGAAUCGUUUUGGGGGCCUUAUGCCCUCUCCCGUCCCCCGUCCCCCGGCGUGAUUCCCCCCCUGGUGGUGUCCAUCCCCCCUCCCUUCCCCCGUCCCCGUCCUGGCCAUCUGUUCCGUACCCUCCUCGGGCCCCCCUCGGCCCCAACGUGGUUGCAGGUGUUUUCAUUCGUACAUUCUCCAACGGGCAUCACGUCCUGGACCGCCGUCCCUAGGACCUGUACUGCACUGUACUGCACGUACUUGUGACUCCCAAGGCCUCAAUCACACAAUCACAAUCGCAUACACAAUCANNNNNNNNNNNNNNNNNNNNNNNNNNNNNNNNNNNNNNNNNNNNNNNNNNNNNNNNNNNNNNNNNNNNNNNNNNNNNNNNNNNNNNNNNNNNNNNNNNNNNNNNNNNNNNNNNNNNNNNNNNNNNNCACGACACGGACCCGGACCCGGACGCACCGCACGCAGGCUGGAAGUCUCCCCGAGGAGGUGUUUCCCCAACCACCGGGUCGGUUGGCGGUUAAACCUGUCGUACUAUUGGUGAACCGGAGCACUGCCAGUGCGUCCGAGGUAGGUGGGGCCCCUGGGGGGGGAGGGGGGGAGGGGGGGGGGAGGGGGGGGGAGGGGGGGAACCUCUACUGGCAGGAGCGAGGUAAACAAGCUUCUGAUAUACUUGCAUUAUUGGGAUAGUGCAUGUGAGAGGAGAUAUCAACUGAUUUUUUGCCCAACAAAGUGACAUUUAUAUCCUAAAUUAGCAUUUUUUAUCGAGAAUAUUUCGAAGGUCAAUAAUAUUCGGGGGAUUUAACUUUGGCAGGAGUUUUGCAUAAUCAAGGGGGAACGGAGAGGAGGGGAAAGGGAGGGGGAAGAGGAGCGAUUGCAACUGUCCUGUCCGCAGUUACCUACCCCCAACCCCAACACAUACAGACGCACUUCCGUAACCCUACCCACCCCACCCCUACUCCACCCCAUCUUUUCCACACACCCCAUGCGCACCCCUAGGUGUUUGCGGGGGCUCUUCACGACAACGGUCGGGGGGCUCUGCUCGGGGAGAGGACGUUCGGGAAGGGGCUGGUGCAGGUGCGUGCGUGUGUGUGUGUAUGGUGACGGAGUGACGGGAGGUAAGGGACACACACCCCAGGUUGGGGGAUAUCAGGCGAGGGGUGCAAGAGGUCCGAAGUCUCCCCACCCGCCCCACAACACCCCAACAACGGCGGUAUCCGUAUGACACCCCCCCGGGGGGACCCCUCCACUCAUCACCCCCUUUUCCCCUCCCCUCCCCUUUCCCCCCAUACACAUACACAUACACACCACACGCCUGGACGCGCCCCUCAGUACUACUUCCCGCUGCGGGAGGGAAAGGACGGCGGAGUACGGGUGACAGUUGCAAAGUGAGUUGUGCCGUAUGUCGUACGUUCCCUCAUCAUACAGGGAGGGAGAGACGAUCGGAGGGGACAGCGGGUGGGGGGUGUGGGCGGGGAGAGGAGGAGGGCGGGGAAGUUAAAACGCUUGAAGGUCUUGAAGCACUUGAAGGUUCCAUUUAUUGGCUCUGAAGGAACUGGAGAUUUAGGGUUCUACAAUCNNNNNNNNNNNNNNNNNNNNNNNNNNNNNNNNNNNNNNNNNNNNNNNNNNGGGGGGGGGGGAGGGGAGGGGAGGGGAGAAGGGGGGAAGGGGUAGGUGGCGGUUGGAGCUCCGGUACUUGCCUGCGUGACAGACACUCUCCGGCUCUCGCUCUGGUCGCCAUGAGCACUGCGUCUCGUCCAAUCUCGUCCAAUCUCGUCCAAUCUCGUUCCUGGGCAGGUACCUGACUCCUUCCGGGUACGACAUCAGCGGCCGGGGCUGGGGGCUGGCUCCUGACCGAGUGUGCACCGACUUCCCCCGAGGUGAGGUUGGGGGGGCCGGGGGGUUGGGGAGUCUCGUGUAGCCCGUGUGCGUGUGUGUAUUUGUUACAUAUCGAUCCGGGCCUGACGCUGGCCAGGGACACCUAACAGUAUACCCCAACGGGAAUGAGCGACCGCUGAAGCACUCUCCCUCGGCGGGGGGAGGAGAGGGGCGUGAGGGGCCACACUCCCCUCCUGCCCGACCGAGGGCGUGCAACGCCCCCCCCCGCGUUUCCCCCUCUUGUCAAGAGGAAAGAGAGCGCGGUGGCUACGAGGGCCCUCAAACAACCAACCUCAGCAACCGUGGCUGCGCCCCCCGAAGGGUCCUUCCACAACACCCGGGCGCCCCCCUCCUCCCCCCCGUGAUGAGGGGCCGCCCUGCCGGCGGUGGUGCCGUGAGCCCGGAAGCCGAACCCUACAACCAAAACUGACCACCCUACGUCCCUCCUCAACGAACUACCGGGCAAAAUCCAAGCCACGCAAAGUUGUAUCAGGCCCUGUGUGCGCGUGUGUGUGUGUGUGCUCAUGUCGAUGACGGCCAGCGUUCCGGGGAAUGGGGGGCGAAUUAUGAAUCCAGGAGCUCCCAAGACCUCCAGGCCGGGUUGGCGGGAAAGAGAAGUUCCCCCCCGAUUCCCCACCGGGGGAAACACACUUGUGCACGGACGGGGCGGGAGGGAGGGGGCUCCAGCAGCACGGGGAGGCUCAAGGUGGACUCACCUGUGUUUCUCACCUGACCUCCUCCCCCCCCCCUGCGCUCCUCGGGGGCCUUCAGGGCUCGGGGUUGGCCAGGUGGGGCCCUCCCUCACUUCCCCGCAACCAACCAACCCCUCAACCAACCAACCCCCUCAACCAACCCCCACAACCAACUCCCUCAACCAACCCCCUCAACCAACCCCCUCAACCAACCCUCUCAACCAACCCCCUCAACCAACUCCCUCAACCAACCCCCACAACCAACCCCCUCAACCAACCCCCUCAACCAACCCCCUCAACCAACCCUCUCAACCAACCAACCCCCACAACCAACCACCCCCCUCUGCCGCCCAGGUGAGCUGCCCACGGGGCUGCAGCACUCCGACCAGUGCAUUCGCCUGGCGGCCGCACUGUUCGCGGAGAAGUCAUGAAAGUGAGGGGCACCGAAGGGGCGAUGGGAGAAGUGUGGAGCUGCGGAUUACCUGUUACAGAAAGCAACAGCAGCAGUAACAGCAGCAGUAACAGCAAUACUGGUGGUAGUGAUAUUGGCUACAGCUGCAGCUACUGCCGCAGCUUCUGUUUUGUUCGCUGCGGUGCUAGUUGACCUAGUUGACCUAUUUUUGCCUGUGGGAAAGGGGGAGAGGGAGGGAGAGGGACAAGGCCAGCUGCGGUAUGACGGCGCUGGUGUGGUGGUGCUGGUCCGUCCCCCCCCCCCCGCCGCCUCGAGGACGCGGGAAGUCGCAUCCCUCCAUCCCGUCACCCCCGUUCAUCAGGAGGGGGGUUGGGGGUGCGGGGGAAAUGAACACACCCACAAUGCGAAGGGUCACCUCGAGCCGCGGGAGGAGAGGAGAAAACGUAAAGAGAAGAAAAAAAUAUCAAUCGUAGCGAACAGCACAACAUCGUAACAUUAGUCUUAAGUAUGGCUGGCAUUGCAUCGUCGUGGUCAUCAUCGUCGUUAUGGUCGAGUGGUUAGUGGUCGCGGCACCAGCCAGGGGGGGGAAGUGGGAGGGGGUCUGAGGGCCCCUGACGGUUAGGACGCCCCACUCCCACUGUACGGCACCACUCUGUCCUUUCCCCCUACUUGCCGUACACAGCUCUGUCCCAUCAGCCCUUUCCGCGCAUCGCUGUUGAGAUAAGGCUGUACCAGGGUACCCCUGGUGGCGGUGUACCUUUGGUGACGGUAUUUUGUUUUAGUUUUGUUGUGUGAUGUCGCCAUAACCACCACCGCCGCCAUGACCACCACCGCCGCCGGCAGUAGCAGGGGCAGGAGGACGAAAAUGGGUUUAGAGCUGUUAGAGCUGUGUGAAAGUAACGGCCGCUGUUGGGGCGGAAUUUAAAGGCGGCGGUGAUUGAGGGGAAAGGGGAGGAGGAGGAAGCAAAAGGAGGCGGCGAAGAGGAACUGCUCGUGCACGUCACGGACGUCACGUCACGGACGUCCGGGGGUUCGGAUGUGGCGAGGCUCUUCCUGAGGUCGGGAGCUCUGGAGGGAGGUGUGCGGAGGAACUGAAGGCGGCCUGCGGACUUGAAGGGCAGCGAGCAGAGCAGGGCGCGCGCUUUUGCAGGGGGGGGGGGACGCGCCCCAAGCGCCCGGAUUGGCAGGUAAGGGCGGAAACACGGCCCAUCUUUGUCGUGUUGUACAUUUGUACGGCGGCCACGUCAGCAGUAUACUUUGCUGUGUGGGGGUUGGAGGCGCGCGCGGGAGGUGCGCAGCUGCCCAUGCCCGUUUGUGUAUUUGUAAAUUUUUGUAAUUUUAUCAAGUUGGGAUUACGGCGCUAUGUAGUUGGAACAGUUAAAAUCACGUAAAUUGCAUCACGGGAUUGCGCCGUACAUCGCUCUGCUGCCGGUGCUGUCUUGCUAUUGAUGUUGUUGUUGUUAUCGCCCUGUUGUAGCCGCCCGUGACGGCCCGGUAGUCAAUUUAUUUGUUUCAGAAGGAGUGGAGGAGGGGCAAAGGGUGGAGCAGAUGGUGCAGGAUUGACGUGUGGUGGGUGUACGACGUAUCUGAUCAUGUAGAUUACAUGACAUGACAGCACAGCGCGGGGGUGUUCGCCGCCCGCCAUCUGGAUCUCGUUAGCGCUCAACCAGUAGCAGUGUAGGGGCGGCACCUCUUUUGCCGUACCGUGCAUUCUGGGGGAUGUCCUCAUGGCCCCUGGGGUAUGGGCAACUACGGCGGGGAGGUGAGGAGGCGGGAGGAGAGGAUGACGACAUUGGUGUUAAUGUUGUUGAUGAUGGCGAUGAACGAAAUUUACUUCAGGAGCCUCCAGGUGUCUCCUGCAGUCUCACGCAGUGGAUGGAGAGGAUGUGAAGGAGCUCCUGACGUGUCGUCUACCAGUCGCCUCUCGGGCACCCCCCCAACAUGCACCGGGGUCGCCGCCUCCCUUUAAGGAGGAGUGGGUGGUGCUGCGGCUAGUCGGGCAGCACCGCCCAUUUCGCUCCUCUGUCUGUCUGUCUGUUUGCCUGUCUCUAUUUUUGACGAUCGUCUUGGUGGUGGUGUGGGGAUAUUACAUAUCAGCCAAGAUGCCCAUAUCACCGCCACCUCCCCACUCGGUUUGAGUUUUGGGACCGUUAGCCCCAUUCAGGGAUACUGUUAUUGGCUAUAUGUCUGUGGGCUGUAAUGAUCGACGAAAGCAUUGGCAGUUUUUAGAUGUGCUGCUCGCCCCCGUUGUAAUAUAGCCUGGUGUCCCAAUAUAUAUCGGAAGCUCGUGCAGCACACCACCACCACCACCAGACACGGCGCGAAACAAUCCGGUCCUCCAGCUGCCUUCCCGACAUCUUCUCAUCUUCGCAGGAUCUUCACCACGUAGCCGCUCGUCCCGCAACCGUUCAGCAUUUACAGCUCAUCAUGCUGCCACCGCACAUGUUUGCGCUUGAUCCACAUGCUUCCACCCCCAAGCGCAGGAAGACCAGGAAGACCAGCGCGCCACCUUGAUGAAGCAGUAAGGUAGCUAGCUAUACACACACAACCCCUCGGCGGUCUUGCAACAACUAAAUGCUAAUCAAGGUGUUGCUUAAGCUUUGAAGAACCCUCCCGCGGCGCACCUUCUCGACUCGGUGACAGAGUGAUGCAGUGCUUGUAUUGAUAUGGAAGACUAGCGUGAAGCAAAACGUAUCGGAGCAAUGAAAUCAUUCCACCCAUCAUCAUUCCCGUCGUUGUCAUUGUCAUGAGCAGCAGUAAGGAACGCAGCGCGGCUCCUCACCAACCUCACAGGACCGCAGCAGCAGUCCUCUCCACGGCUCUCAAACCCCACACAAACCUACCUACACAUCCCCCAUCCCCAUCAUCCGCCCCAGCUCCCGUUUCCAUGUCAUCCUUUUCCGCUCCAAUCCCCGCCACCACACACAGGCUCCUCGUACGAUCCCGCCGCCGCCUCUUGCCGGCCCCCCCCGGGCAGUUAGCUCCUCCACGCCUCGGGUGGUUAACUGCUCCCCCCCAACACACAUACACUUGUCACAGCGACAAGCACCUUUCGCCCCAGGUCUCGAACCCUCCAAGCUCUAGUACUCUAUCGCUGCGGUCGAAGCUGUCAGCCGUCCACAAAUGAUGGCAAUUCACUUCAAUGCACCCCCCAUCCAUUUCACACAUGCCAUGACACACAUGCCACCCCUCACUGCGCCAACGAAUGAUUAACGGAAGCGAAGCGGUUGAAGGUAACGGAGGAAACACGGAGGGAGGAAGGAAGUCCUCACCUCCUUCCUUCCGCCGUAUCAUGUCGGUCAUGUCGCCCACCCCCGCGUGUUGUGUCCUACGCUCCUGCGCCCACCCCGCCUACCCGACCUGCACCGGUUUCUUCUUUUCGAGAAUAACAAGACACCCCCACCAGGAGGAACCCCAGUCCUUCCUCCCGUCGUGCUGCGCUGCACCGCGUGUGAAUCCCUUCAGGUCCCACAACAGACACAACAUGCACCAGAACACACAAACACAAAACCACAAAGAACAACCUGGGUUGCCUCAGGUUGGAUGAGACGACCUCGCCGAUAGACCGAGACCGGGCUCAAGAGCCGUCACACAUCGACGGCUGCGUGACAGAGCCGCUCAACACAUGUAGUGUUAUGCCUAUUACAACAACGAGGUCCAGAACGCAAAAGGAAUGAACGUCGAGCAUAUCCCCUCGCCGUGACCCCCCAGGGGCAAAAGCCCUGAGCCAACACGCCGCUCCUUGCUUCCCACCCUCCGGCCCUCGGAGCCACCCCAGUACAGUACAACAGUGCUCAAACUUACGCAAAAAAUGCUCUUCUUAGCUAAAACUAGCGAAAAUCGUACCCAGUAACACCAAGCAUUUGCAGGAGCUUACGAGACCCUGGACCCGCUGCGAGUGCCCAGCUCUUCCCCACCCCUAUUGCCGGGCCUCUCCUCCUUCCGCCGCUGCGGGCCACCCGGCAAAUAAGUGACUGGUAAACUGGGAACGACAGCGGUUCCGGCCGCCGCCGACCGAAAGCAAGCGUGAGCCGCAGCUUCUCCACACGACAUCAGUGCGCGUCGUCCACGCGUGCCCAUCAAAAAAGUAGCAGGCACAUAAUGACGAAGGAGCCCAACAUUAACAGGAGCCGCGAAAGAAAUGCCUGAAAGCAGCAGGAAUAUCGCAGCCUCGUGUAGCCCAGCUGAAAGGCCUGGCCAAAGGCAAGAUACACAUACAAAAUCGCACCUGAUGUUGCUGCUCUGGCGUGAGCGCCUCGUUGUACCCUUGGCCGGGUCCCAAGUGAAAGCCAAAAAGCGAAGGAAAAACUCCCUGUUGUGUCUGCCCGGGGCUGGCCGCCUGCGAUAAACGGGGCGAAUACGACCUGACCGAGCUGAAGGCGCGCGAAACAGCCAAAUACGAACACCAGUCCUCGAUGAUGCAUACCGGCACUGGAACAGGACGCUGCCCAGCUGGCCGUGGCGGCACAGGCUUGACCGCCUCCUGCACCUUGCUCGCCGGCUCGGAACCUCGCCCGUAUAUUGGCACCACCUUAUCGAUUUCCACUCCCGCUUUGCAAACUGGGCACGCCCUGCUGCACGCCUGUACUUGCAUCCACCUAUUCACCAAGAAGCUUGGAUCAACGGCCAAGUCACACACAUUUCCACCCUUCAACCGAUAACCGCACCUGUACAGACACGGCCAGCAGAAAAGGUGCCCGCAAAGAGUUACCACAGGCUCUUUUGCUAGCUCCAGGCAAAUAUUGCACUCGAAGGCUGAGCUGUCCCCUUCAGAAUGGUCAUCCGUGGUCACGGCUUGGGCACAAGCUGGUUUGCUCAGGUUAUCCUCCGCAACAGUUCCCACAGCCUCAUCCUGUGAGGCUUGUGGCGCAGCUGCCUGCGGCUGUUCUUGGGGAGCCAGCACAGCGCUAUCGGCAGCGCUUGCCAUGCCGCUAUAUUUUUUCAAAUACCGUCUACACUUGGAUGAAAAGCAAAAUAAUGCAAGCCCUCAGGGCUCAGGGGUAAGCUCUUAGAAGGUUUCUGCAAACCUAAUCUGCAAGGCGAGACGCUUAACAGUCUGUCCUGAUAUUUGUAGGUUCAAAGCGCAAAAAGCUAUUCACGGAUUAUGCUCAUAACGCUUAACCUUGGCUAGGACUGCGGACAGGUAAAACCUUUUGGGGCGCUCAUUCCGUCGUACUGAUGAUGCACAAGACGCUGAUGCCUGAACCUAGGUAGGGUCCUUUUCAUUAUUUACAUUCCGUUACCGCGCAAAACUGCAGCUGCAAAUGGCAAAUAAACCCCAAAGGGCAUCCGUACUGUACUUCAUAGCGGUAACCGCAUUCAAAGUAAAGUUCCUGAUGCAAGCACGUCAACCUUUCCUCACCUGCAUACACUCAAGAAACGCUGGACCCCUAUACGACGUGCAAGGUCUCCAAGCGACCGCCCCAAAUCGUCACGUGCCUCCAGGCAGUACAAAACAUGCCAGAACCACAUUUCGGUUCUGGAGCAGCUCCACGCACCCCUGCCCCGACCAACGCAAUCCAAACACCCGAUCAACCACACGCGCUAGCCUGGCCUCCCGCCCCUCGCCCUCCUGCCACCCCGUACCCCACUGCUGCUGCUGCUGCUGCGGUUGCUGCGGUUGCUGCGGUUGCUCACGCCAUGCCCCCCCACUCUCCCGCAUCCCCCCUCCACUUCCACUCCUCCUCCUCCUCGUCCCUGUCACGGACCCAUUCCGCUCUACCGCCAUUGCGCCUCCCUCUCCCCCUCUCCACCCGCCUCUAACCCCCUCCUCCUCCCCUCCUACGGAGCCACUACACCCACCCACACCCAUCUCGCUCUCCACCGCCACCGCCUCCACCGUCACCGUCACCGCCGCUGUACCACCCGCACCUGCACCUGCACCCGCAUCCAACCUGCCUCGCCCCGACAGUCCCGCUACGCCUGCGCCUUGCUGCCGCUCCCCCUUCUCCCCCUUCUCUCGCGGCUGUAGCGGCUGUUGCUGUGCCAGCAGCCCUGGCAGUAGCCAGCAGUGGCAGGGCUGUACGACCAAGGCGGGUCUCGGCGCGCCAUGCAGCAUCAUAAGGGCCUUAUGCGACCACGGCACGGUCAGUGCAAAGACCAGCAGCGCAGGGGACGGAGCGCCGUCCAGCAGCAGCGCGGCCAGUCGGUUCCCCUGCGGUGUGGUGGGGUGUGGUAUGGUGUGGUGUGGUGUGCUCAUUCAUGUCGGGACGGGAGCAACAGUGCAACGCUGAAGGGAUAACGGUACAACGGUACAACGGUAUGAUGACUCCGUUAGAUUGGACGCGGGAGCAAACAUCCAGGCCGCAGUCUCCCCCCAUAUCACCCACAUCACCCCGGCCGCCCCCCACCCACCCCGCAGCCACCGCCAGCCAACGUGAAUACCAACGGAACCACCACCACCACCCCCGCCUUCCCCACCACCGCCAUCUCCCCCCACCUCCACCCCAACCCAUUGCCCAACUUAUUCCGUACAACCCCAAAGAAGCCCAAGGGCGUAAUACCCCCCCAAACCCGCCAAGUCCCAACACACACACACACAUACGUACAUACACACAUACGUACAUACAAUAGCAAAUUACGGGAGAGCCUCCCCCACCGCCACCCACCUGCGGACUGAACUGCAGCGCCGCCACCCCCGACUGGGACAAGCCCCGGAGCAGACACGGCAGCUGCUGCUGCUGCUGCUGGGGUCCGGAGGGCCGAGCGGGAGGGUGAAGGGGAAGGGGAGGGGGAGGGGAGGACGCCGCAGUAGUAGCAGUAGCAGUAGUGGCAGUAGUAGCAGUAGCAGUAGCAGUAGCCGCCAGAGCGGCUGACGAGGACAGCGAUGACGAAGACGGCCAGGGCCCCAUGGCGCCUAGAGGCCGCCAGGAUGAGGACGAGGUAAGGGAGCAAGUGGAGGACGCGGCGGACCUCAAGGCAGCGGCGGAAGGGCCGAAGCCGCCACUGCCACCGCCACCGCCGCUGCCGUCAGCACCAGCACCAGCACCACAGCCAUUGCUGGCGCCGCUGGCGGCUGCGGACGCAACCGCAGUCGCUGACCCCAAUUGUGGUGGUGUCGUACAUAGCGGUGCCAUGUCCCCCCCCCAGGUCGGCGGCGAUGGCGGAGCCGCCGGGGGGGAAAGCAGCAGCGCGUCAGGUCCAGGCUGCAGAGGCAGCUGCCACGUGGCGUUGCCGUACUCCAGGUCGUACACAGUGAUGAACUGGGGCUCGCCCGAGGGUGAGUUGGCGGCCAGGGGCGGAGCCACCGCGAGCUGUGCGUGUACGGGGGAGGGGAUGUGUUGACGGUCCCGGUGAUCAGCGGAGGGGAGGGGGCAUUGCGAAUACGGAUGUCGCUGAGGCGGCCGGGGGGAAGUGGCGGGUGACCAAUAGUGGCCUGGGACCUGCAGCGGUCUCCCGGCCAUCUCCCGGCGACACGGCCCGCUAAGUAAAGAAACAGGAACUAGCUGCCGAGUCCAAAGGCGAAACAGCGAAAUGACCACCUAGACGCCGAGAUCACAAGAGUAAAAAAGCGAAAAAGCAAAGGAGCCCGUAGCAGUAGUGGUAGUACCAGUAGCAAAAGGUCAGGCGGCCAAAGGCGGAGAAGAGCAAAGGCUAACGAAAGGUGUACGCCGACCUAGCGGCGGAAGUAAUGAACGAUAUUAUUUUGCACCACUUAUCUGCUGCUGGCAAGCUGCUCGCUGACAUGCAUGCAUGUGUUCCUCCCAGCCCCCCCCCCCCUCCAGAUAACACGGCCCUGGCCCGACCAACCCGACCAACUCGACUCGGCCAACCCGACCAACGGCACCCUUCCCCCGGUGCGAAGGGGACGGGAGGAGGGAGCACAACACCGCGAGAGGGGAGGGGAGGGAAGGGGUUGGAACUAAUUACCAGCUGCCUCUCCCACCCACUCGACCAUCCGCGGCUCCAACAGAGGCCACACUACUCGCUCCCGAUUCAUGUACGUACAUACAUACACACUCUCUAGCGGAGGACGGGAAGAUCGGGAGGAGGGGGGAAGGUGCCACAAACACCGCCCCUGCGGCGUACGACAACGUUACCCAAAGGCCAACAAACCAAAGCAGAAUCCUCCUCCCGGAGCUUAAUCCCGCUUCCACCCUUCGCUCCCCACCACAUGCAUACACACACACACACACACACACACACACGAACACGCACACACCUGCAUGCUAGCGGCGUGAAGCGCCGUACACGGCAACACGGCCGCCAGGUCCGCCGCCAGCAGGUAGGCGGGUCCCGUCAGGUCAGGCCGUCCUCGUGCCGCCGGCGCCGCCAGCGCCCUGGCCAGCCCCGCCCCCAGCGCGGGAGCUGCGGCCGCCAGCGCGCACCUCCCCGGCCGGGAGCGGGUGAGGCGGGAGAGGGCAGCGCCCACCAGCGGGUGCAGGGGCAGGGCCUCGGCUGCUGGACGGAAGGGGGGUGACGUGUGAGGGUGGGGUGUGAGGGUGGCACGGUAGGUCCACAUGAGGGUGGUACGACAAAUGGGCGAAGUGGGGGCCCGUGUGCUGCAAUCCGCAGCGAAGCUGAGGGCUGGUUGUGGUGGUGGUGGUGGUGGUGCAGGGCAGGAUGCCGCAGACCGAGUUACGGCACGAGUGCGGCGCCGUACACGGAAGGGAGACGUGCGCGCCCUCUCCCCCCCCCACCUCUCAAUUCUCCCCCCUAAAGCCGCCUCUCCUCUGUGUUUCGUGACCUGACCAACACCCCCAACAACGGAGGAUGUUGUGCAAGUGCCUUGGCCAAACCACCUCGCACCGCCUUCCAUGCUUCCCUCCCCUCCCCACCCUCUGAUGGCCACCCUGUUGUUACCCCACCCCCUCCUUCUUCCCCCCACCCCACCCCCCUUUCCCCCCUUUCCCCCAACCUCCGCACCUCCAGGGAAUCUGGACAGCCCCUGGAGCAACCCCUCCAUGUCCAAUGUAGCCACCGCCGCUAGGAGCCGUACAGUCUGGUCCGCCAAACGCUGUGCAGCCCGCUGCGGAGCGGCGGCGGCGGCGGCGGCGGCAACGGAGGGCUGCGACGACAGCCACGGCAGCGGCGGCGGCGGCGGCGUUUGGUGAGAGGCUGUGUGAUGGUGGUGGUGAUGCUGGUGGUGGUGGUGGUGGUGAUGUGAAUAAAGCGGAGGAAAACCGUGGCGGCCGCACGGCAUGGUGGUGGCGACGUCGACGUCGUACGACGUGGAAGUGCCGUACGAUGACGGAUCCAUGGCACCUGGCGGCGGAAGCGGAAUCACCUGGAUAAGGUGCAAUAGCCUGCGCGGACAUACAUACAUACACACACGGAAACUGAUGUCAGGGUUGUUGUUACAAUAUUCAUCGGACCGAUGCCAACCCGUAAGACACGGUACACUAGAUUUAUGGCAGGUGGCUGGCAGAGGUUAAGGCCUGACUUCUGCUCCCGGAGAUCCUGAGUUCAAAUCCGCCUGCCGACUCCUCGGUGUGUGAGGGGUGAUGAAAUGGGAGGUGGCCCCCCAUCUAGAGGACGGUGUAGGACGUGAUAAAAUCAACUUGCGAGCUGACCAGGAAGUAAGUUGAGGCGCCGUUGAUCCGCUAGAUUUGGUUGGAUGCUGGUGGUGAGUUGCCGAACCCAACGAAUACACUCUCAAGUCGGAUGGCGUAAAUGGAUUAGGGUGCCCCUCUCGCACGGGAGAGCAGGGAACUGCCUCCAAGGGAAAGGGGGCCGCUGGUGAAGCUCCUGUACCACCCUGUAACGACAUACAUACACACCCAGGAGAGGGCCUUCCUUGCCUUCCGAGCAGCGGCAGGAGACGUACUGAGCGCGAUGGUGGGGGCAUUAGGUCGGGCAUGAUUCCUGAACAACAACUCUUCUCCUGUCCUCCUCCUCCGCUCGCGAUGCCACCCUCACACACAGACACACAGACAGACACACAGACACACAGACAGACACACAGACACACAGACAGACACACAGACACACAGACACACAGACACACAGACAGACACACAGACAGACAGACACAGACAGACCGCACCCCCCACACACACCUUUCCACGAAACUACCCCAUGGCUGUAGCUGCUGCCGCCACAGCACCGCCCGAGGGCCCGACAGCGCCGCCGUCAGCAUCGCCGCCGCCACCUCCGGCAGUAGCACACGGCCAUCGGCUGUCCACAGCCCACCGCGCUCUGGCGGUGGCUGUAGCGGCGGCGGCGACGAUGGCGGAACAUGUGGCAACUCAAGGUAUCCGCCGGCCUGUACGGCAGUCGGCGACUUCACCGCGGCGGCGGCAGCGCCACCGCCAGCCGCUGCCUUGGAAAGCGGCGUCAGCGGUAGGCACAGCAGCUCUACAAGAGAAGUAGCGGCGGCAGCGAGCAGCUGUUGCGGUACAGCAUCAGCGUGCGCGAGGCACGCAGCGGCGGCAAUCACGGCGGCCGGGUACAGGCGCUGGGCUGGUGGCGGAGGCGGUGGCGGAGGCGGCAGAGGCGCCGUACCAGAUGGCCGCCGGUGGCGGAGCAUGUGGAGCUGCGGUGCUCCGGAACCGGCGGUGGCGGUGGCUGGUGGUGCUUCCCACGGAGCCGAGGCGGCUGUAGCAGCAGCACCAGCUCUAAGCUGCAGCACCGCGGUUGCUUGACAGGGCAAUAGCAAUGACAAUGUCGGUGGCAAUGACGAUGAUGACGGAGACGCGGGGUACGUGUCCGCCGUCGACGCCACCGCUGGCGUGUGUACGACGACGGGCUUAGUAUACGCGGCGAGCAGCCGCUGCGCCGCUUCCCUGAGCCAUCCCUGGCCCCCCCUGGACAACCACUGCCGGGCGAAUACCGCCAGGUCGGGGUCGGGGUGCAGAAGGGCGUGUCGUAGAGGACGUCGAGGUGCUCGGGAGGGCCCCGCCGCCGCC